GGGGACGUGGCGGAAUGGGAAGACGCAUGGAGGUCUGCGAAGGAUGCAUACGAAACAGACUAACCAUUUUGCAGGUUCGAAUCCUGCCGUCCCCACAA
Molecule: transfer RNA, 98 nt
Filed under: Geobacter sp.
Lineage: Bacteria; Pseudomonadati; Thermodesulfobacteriota; Desulfuromonadia; Geobacterales; Geobacteraceae
Description: tRNA-Arg
Rfam family: tRNA
About the family: Transfer RNA (tRNA) molecules are approximately 80 nucleotides in length. Their secondary structure includes four short double-helical elements and three loops (D, anti-codon, and T loops). Further hydrogen bonds mediate the characteristic L-shaped molecular structure. tRNAs have two regions of fundamental functional importance: the anti-codon, which is responsible for specific mRNA codon recognition, and the 3' end, to which the tRNAs corresponding amino acid is attached (by aminoacyl-tRNA synthetases). tRNAs cope with the degeneracy of the genetic code in two manners: having more than one tRNA (with a specific anti-codon) for a particular amino acid; and 'wobble' base-pairing, i.e. permitting non-standard base-pairing at the 3rd anti-codon position.
Source: RNAcentral